GAUGAGUAGGGCGGGACACGUGGUAUCCUGUCUGAAUAUGGGGGGACCAUCCUCCAAGGCUAAAUACUCCUGACUGACCGAUAGUGAACCAGUACCGUGAGGGAAAGGCGAAAAGAACCCCGGCGAGGGGAGUGAAAAAGAACCUGAAACCGUGUACGUACAAGCAGUGGGAGCACGCUUAGGCGUGUGACUGCGUACCUUUUGUAUAAUGGGUCAGCGACUUAUAUUCUGUAGCAAGGUUAACCGAAUAGGGGAGCCGAAGGGAAACCGAGUCUUAACUGGGCGUUAAGUUGCAGGGUAUAGACCCGAAACCCGGUGAUCUAGCCAUGGGCAGGUUGAAGGUUGGGUAACACUAACUGGAGGACCGAACCGACUAAUGUUGAAAAAUUAGCGGAUGACUUGUGGCUGGGGGUGAAAGGCCAAUCAAACCGGGAGAUAGCUGGUUCUCCCCGAAAGCUAUUUAGGUAGCGCCUCGUGAAUUCAUCUCCGGGGGUAGAGCACUGUUUCGGCAAGGGGGUCAUCCCGACUUACCAACCCGAUGCAAACUGCGAAUACCGGAGAAUGUUAUCACGGGAGACACACGGCGGGUGCUAACGUCCGUCGUGAAGAGGGAAACAACCCAGACCGCCAGCUAAGGUCCCAAAGUCAUGGUUAAGUGGGAAACGAUGUGGGAAGGCCCAGACAGCCAGGAUGUUGGCUUAGAAGCAGCCAUCAUUUAAAGAAAGCGUAAUAGCUCACUGGUCGAGUCGGCCUGCGCGGAAGAUGUAACGGGGCUAAACCAUGCACCGAAGCUGCGGCAGCGACGCUGAUGCGUUGUUGGGUAGGGGAGCGUUCUGUAAGCCUGCGAAGGUGUGCUGUGAGGCAUGCUGGAGGUAUCAGAAGUGCGAAUGCUGACAUAAGUAACGAUAAAGCGGGUGAAAAGCCCGCUCGCCGGAAGACCAAGGGUUCCUGUCCAACGUUAAUCGGGGCAGGGUGAGUCGACCCCUAAGGCGAGGCCGAAAGGCGUAGUCGAUGGGAAACAGGUUAAUAUUCCUGUACUUGGUGUUACUGCGAAGGGGGGACGGAGAAGGCUAUGUUGGCCGGGCGACGGUUGUCCCGGUUUAAGCGUGUAGGCUGGUUUUCCAGGCAAAUCCGGAAAAUCAAGGCUGAGGCGUGAUGACGAGGCACUACGGUGCUGAAGCAACAAAUGCCCUGCUUCCAGGAAAAGCCUCUAAGCAUCAGGUAACAUCAAAUCGUACCCCAAACCGACACAGGUGGUCAGGUAGAGAAUACCAAGGCGCUUGAGAGAACUCGGGUGAAGGAACUAGGCAAAAUGGUGCCGUAACUUCGGGAGAAGGCACGCUGAUAUGUAGGUGAAGUCCCUCGCGGAUGGAGCUGAAAUCAGUCGAAGAUACCAGCUGGCUGCAACUGUUUAUUAAAAACACAGCACUGUGCAAACACGAAAGUGGACGUAUACGGUGUGACGCCUGCCCGGUGCCGGAAGGUUAAUUGAUGGGGUCAGCGCAAGCGAAGCUCUUGAUCGAAGCCCCGGUAAACGGCGGCCGUAACUAUAACGGUCCUAAGGUAGCGAAAUUCCUUGUCGGGUAAGUUCCGACCUGCACGAAUGGCGUAAUGAUGGCCAGGCUGUCUCCACCCGAGACUCAGUGAAAUUGAACUCGCUGUGAAGAUGCAGUGUACCCGCGGCAAGACGGAAAGACCCCGUGAACCUUUACUAUAGCUUGACACUGAACAUUGAGCCUUGAUGUGUAGGAUAGGUGGGAGGCUUUGAAGUGUGGACGCCAGUCUGCAUGGAGCCGACCUUGAAAUACCACCCUUUAAUGUUUGAUGUUCUAACGUGGACCCGUGAUCCGGGUUGCGGACAGUGUCUGGUGGGUAGUUUGACUGGGGCGGUCUCCUCCUAAAGAGUAACGGAGGAGCACGAAGGUUGGCUAAUCCUGGUCGGACAUCAGGAGGUUAGUGCAAUGGCAUAAGCCAGCUUGACUGCGAGCGUGACGGCGCGAGCAGGUGCGAAAGCAGGUCAUAGUGAUCCGGUGGUUCUGAAUGGAAGGGCCAUCGCUCAACGGAUAAAAGGUACUCCGGGGAUAACAGGCUGAUACCGCCCAAGAGUUCAUAUCGACGGCGGUGUUUGGCACCUCGAUGUCGGCUCAUCACAUCCUGGGGCUGAAGUAGGUCCCAAGGGUAUGGCUGUUCGCCAUUUAAAGUGGUACGCGAGCUGGGUUUAGAACGUCGUGAGACAGUUCGGUCCCUAUCUGCCGUGGGCGCUGGAGAACUGAGGGGGGCUGCUCCUAGUACGAGAGGACCGGAGUGGACGCAUCACUGGUGUUCGGGUUGUCAUGCCAAUGGCACUGCCCGGUAGCUAAAUGCGGAAGAGAUAAGUGCUGAAAGCAUCUAAGCACGAAACUUGCCCCGAGAUGAGUUCUCCCUGACUCCUUGAGAGUCCUGAAGGAACGUUGAAGACGACGACGUUGAUAGGCCGGGUGUGUAAGCGCAGCGAUGCGUUGAGCUAACCGGUACUAAUGAACCGUGAGG
This 2529-nucleotide ribosomal RNA is filed under the name Escherichia coli. Its description in RNAcentral is "partial 23S ribosomal RNA". It matches the Rfam family "Bacterial large subunit ribosomal RNA", at positions 407 to 2915 of the family's 2925-position model. Lineage: Bacteria; Pseudomonadati; Pseudomonadota; Gammaproteobacteria; Enterobacterales; Enterobacteriaceae. The record is from RNAcentral.